GAAUGGACUUGGCCCUGGGGACAUGCCCUGUAUGACACUGACUUGAUGACAUCUAGUGGGAAGUCCUGAAGGUUCUUCUGCCAGAUGCCACACACCACAUCCCAACUGCCCUGCUUUCUCUGCCACUCCUCAAGGCUCAGGCUCUGAAGUAAGGCUGUCAGCUCCCAAAGUCAGACUGUGGCUGAGAUUACUGGAAGUGGCUGUGAUGCCCAUCAGCAGAUGAUAGAGAUGGGCUUCCUGGAACUGCCACUAACCUCCUGCAGACCAGGCUCCAUGUCCCAGCAGGUCCCAGCCCAGGCCCAACCUACAGCCAUAACCAUGGAAGGCAGAAGCCCCGCUGGAAGUACCUGCAGACCUGGGGCACCUUUCUGUCAUAAGCAUGGCAACUUGACCCCCAGUGAUCAUCCUUGAAUGGCAGCUGGGAACGGGGCUUGUUCUCCCUACCGUGACUGUAGUCAUCCUUCCCUGCAGCGUCCAUCCCAGCUGCAGGUCCUGUGAGCCUCCAUUCAUUUUCAAACACCUAUUGAUCAGUUUGCAUUUUAUGUGAUUUUAUAUAUAUAGAAACAUACAGCAUGUUCUCUGUUUUGGUUUGGCUUUGCUGUAUGGUUUGGAUGUGGCUUGUCCCCAA
RNAcentral lists this long non-coding RNA (628 nucleotides) under Marmota marmota marmota (Alpine marmot). RNAcentral's name for it is "lncRNA (ENSMMMG00000015523.1)". Lineage: Eukaryota; Metazoa; Chordata; Mammalia; Rodentia; Sciuridae. The record is from RNAcentral.